This 235-nucleotide long non-coding RNA is filed under the name Ananas comosus (pineapple). RNAcentral's name for it is "long non-coding RNA (ACOM_LNC022557)". Lineage: Eukaryota; Viridiplantae; Streptophyta; Magnoliopsida; Poales; Bromeliaceae. The record is from RNAcentral.
AAAGUUAAAAUUUUAAAUUUAAAAAUAUAUAUUUAAAAUUUUAAAAAUUUAAAUUCAAAUAUAAUAAGAGGAUAAUAUGAUUAUUUUUUAUUUAUAAAACCCACUAUCUUUCUUAUUCCAUCUUACCUAACCAAACGCUAUUUUUUUUAUUCCCAGAAAUAACCCAAUUUUCAUCCAAACGCAAAAUUGAUCUAAUCCCCGCUUAUAUCUCAAUUUAUACCUAUCCCUGUAAUAG